AUGUUCCUUAAGCUCCAACAGGUACAUAGGAUAUCUUAUGUUAAGACAUCACACAUAAUAUCUUGUGAACACUCUUUGUUUUACCAAAAUUGCUGCCAACACUAAGAACCAACAGUAUGAGUGAUUUAUACAUUGAUUGCGUUCAUUUAUAAAUGGAGUGAUUGUCGUGGCCACAAAAAUAAAUAUAAAAAAUUGAAAAUCUAAGAACCAUGUGAUAUAAUUGCACCUUAUCUUUUACCGGUAAUGAUAGUUUUCAAGCAACCUGAAGUUUGUUUUAUGGGAAAAACAUGUAAUGGAUACUUAUAGUGUGUAGAUUAACAGAAGGAAGCAAUGAAGCCUAGAGAGAACAAGAUGGGAAUAUAUAUGAAUAAAAUUAAAAUAAUAUAUAUGAAUAUAAUUUUCAAUAAUUAUAUAAAAUUUUGAUCUAACUAUUUUAUUGAAUAUAUUUAAUAUAGAAGUUUAAUCUUUAAUCAAUAUAUAUAUUAUUUUUUACGUAGUAAUCAUUUUAUUCAUAUAAUUAGUUUUAAAAAUAUUUUAUACACUUGAGAAUAUAAAUGAUCAAUUAAAACUGUUAAAUUAAAAGAAAAUAAAUAACUAAAAUUUAUAGAGAUUUUGAAAUUUACUCUUAAAAUUGACUCAUAAAUCUAAAAUAUCAAAUUAUACAUAAUUUAAGUUCAACUCAUUUAAUUAACGAAUUUAUUUAUUUUUUCGUAUUCAACUUAUUUGAUUUAUUAAUCAAAUUCAACGACUUAGUUUUCGAAUUAUGUUCGAGUUGAUUUAGUUCAUUAUUAAUUUUAAGUAUUAUUGAUAUCUUUAAGUAAUUUAUUUAAAAUUUGAUUUCAAUUUUUCAAUUAUAAUAAUAUUUUUUAUUAACAUAUUUCUAAUUAUAUUCAAUUUUUUCUACACAAUCUCUAAUAUAAAAAAAUCACUAACUAUGAAUCAAGUUGUGGUCCAACUAAAAGAUGCUUUUUUAUAUACUAUUGUUUCUUUCCUUCUUUCUCUAACAUUAGGAAAAUGGCUAUAAUAAAUAGGUGGUCACGUAUCUAAAUCUGAAAUAAUUCAAGCUAAUUAAAGUAAUAGUAAGACUUCUAUCUAAGACGUCAUUACAGAAUUUAGUUUUAAGAUGAUGGGACUCUAUAUCUUUUCAAUGUGGAAUUUAGAAUCUUUUCAAUAGAUUCUCUCACAUGUAACACUUUUGUUAGAUUUAGUAAGUGAAUAUUAAUAAUCGGUAAUCAAGGAUCUGAUUGAUAUUACUUUAAUACCAUAUUAGAAUUUGAUAUAACUCAUCUUUAUAAAGUUGAUUUAUAAGGUGAGAAAUAUCAUUUUAUAUAAAUUCUUUCAAUUCUCUAUCUUCAAUUAAUAUGAAAUUUGAGAUUUUUUUAAUACACUCACUCACGUCCAAUACUAUUAGAUUUGAUGCGUGAAUAUAAACAAUAAAAUAAUUCAUCUUUACAAAAGUAAAUUAUAAGAUGGAAGAUGUCACUCUAUAUAAAUAUGAAUAUAUGAAUGAAAUACUGAAAGGUGAACCUUUAUCAUCUAUGUUAGAUAGUAAUUUAACUUCUCGAGGAGUUGAAGAAGUGGAAAGCAUGAACUCUUGUUGGAAUCUCCUCACUGUGAAUAUUAAUGAUGAUGAAGCCAUGCUAUGCUAUGCUACCAGGAUGAUAAAAAACACAACAGAGCUAAUAAUAAGUGUUGU
Molecule: long non-coding RNA, 1696 nt
Filed under: Lathyrus oleraceus (garden pea)
Lineage: Eukaryota; Viridiplantae; Streptophyta; Magnoliopsida; Fabales; Fabaceae
Description: Pisum sativum (pea) long non-coding RNA (PSAT_LNC039303)
Source: RNAcentral